AUUGAACGCUGGCGGCAUGCCUGCCACAUGCAAGUCGAACGGCAGCAUAGGAGCUUGCGCGUGAUGGCGAGUGGCGAACGGGUGAGUAAUAUAUCGGAGCGUGCCCUAGAGUGGGGGAUAACAAGUCGAAAGAUUCGCUAAUACCGCAUCAGACCUACGGAUGAGAGGGGGGGAUCGAAAGACCUCCUGCUCCUGGAGCGGCCGAUAUCGGAUUAGCUAGUUGGUGGGGUAAAAGCCUACCAAGGCGACGAUCAGUAGCUGGUCUGAGGAGACGACCAGCCACACUGGGACUGAGACACGGCCCAGACUCCUACGGGAGGCAGCAGUGGGGAAUUUUGGACAAUGGGGGCAACCCUGAUCCAGCAAUGCCGCGUGAGUGAAGAAGGCCUUCGGAUUGUAAAGCUCUUUUGACAGGGAAGAAACGGUUCUGGAUAAUACCCAGAGCUAAUGACGGUACCUGAAGAAUAAGCACCGGCUAACUACGUGCCAGCCGCCGCCGUAA
This 502-nucleotide ribosomal RNA is filed under the name uncultured bacterium. RNAcentral describes it as "partial 16S ribosomal RNA". It matches the Rfam family "Bacterial small subunit ribosomal RNA", at positions 30 to 523 of the family's 1533-position model. The record is from RNAcentral.